AUUUAUAUAAGAAAAACAAAAAUAGCUACCUUUGUGUGAAUUACAGUGCUAAUGAUGAGUUCUUUGUAUCAGACAUGAAUGGACAGAUUCAAGAUUUCCUUUCACCUAGGCUUGGUUCAGCAGCGGGCAAUGCUCAAGACAGAGUUGGGCGCACAUCAUAUAUAUACAUAUGUUGUCGUGUAUUAAUAAAUGGAGAUGAGCAGAAGUAGAGAUGAGAUAUCUAUCCGACUGUCAUCCUUCCAAGACUUGGGUUUGUCAUCUCUGUCAGCGUCCGCCUCCGCUUCCUUCGUUGGUUGUCGUUUCUUUGUACACUGCUGUAGUUUAGAGAUCAUAAUAUAUUUUCCAUGGAUACAAUUGAAUACGACACCCAAUUUGCUAUAUAAUUGUUCAGCUCUCUAUCAUAGCGAUUCAUACAAAAUAUCAUGCAUAGUGGUCCCAGCUUAAGUAGAAUAUAACCAUUGGAUUGUUCAAACUUUGCUCGUGUUUCGCAGGGCACCAUAACUCUAAUCCGACAUGAGUAGUGCAACCACGACAGUGAGCAGUGGAACCGCAAGAUAGAGAUAGAUACAAGUAGAAUAUAACUGAUCAUAUUUCUAAAAUGAUCACACUACUUAUGGUGCCGGAAGAGAAGGCAUCAGUGAUAGUGGGCUUGGUGAUGAGGGCAUCAAUACGAAGAGAUUAAUUCACAACUUUGUUCUUGAUAGGUUGUACAAAUAUACAAGGGUUAACUGGCCAUGCAAAAACUGUUGUGAGGCAUUAAAUGGUACUCCCUCUGUAAACUAAUAUAAGAGCGUUUAGAUCACUAUUUUAGUAUUCUAAACACUCUUAUAUUAGUUUACAGAGGUAGUACUAUAUGUUUUUGGCUU
Molecule: long non-coding RNA, 866 nt
Organism: Triticum dicoccoides
Lineage: Eukaryota; Viridiplantae; Streptophyta; Magnoliopsida; Poales; Poaceae
Exons: 3
Source: RefSeq, a predicted model, not a curated record